This is a non-coding RNA of Thiorhodospira sibirica ATCC 700588, 98 nucleotides long. The record is from Rfam. NCBI's taxonomy places the organism in Bacteria, Pseudomonadati, Pseudomonadota, Gammaproteobacteria, Chromatiales, Ectothiorhodospiraceae.
CACGCCAAUCGGUAACGCCUGGCGUGAUCAGGCAGAAGUCAGCAGACGGCAUCGUCGCCAAGCACUCACCGUAAUGGGUGAGACACGGUGAGAAGGCC